Molecule: ribosomal RNA, 252 nt
Filed under: uncultured bacterium
Lineage: Bacteria
Description: partial 16S ribosomal RNA
Rfam family: Bacterial small subunit ribosomal RNA
Source: RNAcentral
GACGUAGGGGGCCAGCGUUGCUCGGAAUUACUGGGUGUAAAGGGUUCGUAGGCGGUGUGGCAAGUCGGGAGUGAAAUCUCUGGGCUCAACCCAGAGUCUGCUUCCGAAACUGCUGUGCUUGAGUGUGGGAGAGGCGCGUGGAAUUGCAGGUGUAGCGGUGAAAUGCGUAGAUAUCUGCAGGAACAUCCGAGGCGAAAGCGGCUCACUGGAUCGCAACUGACGCUGAGAGACGAAAGCUAGGGGAGCAAACAG